RNAcentral lists this non-coding RNA (115 nucleotides) under Anaerobacillus alkalilacustris. Its description in RNAcentral is "TPP sequence". It matches the Rfam family "TPP riboswitch aptamer (THI element)". From Rfam's summary of the family: Vitamin B(1) in its active form thiamin pyrophosphate (TPP) is an essential coenzyme that is synthesised by coupling of pyrimidine and thiazole moieties in bacteria. The previously detected thiamin-regulatory element, thi box was extended, resulting in a new, highly conserved RNA secondary structure, the THI element, which is widely distributed in eubacteria and also occurs in some archaea. The record is from RNAcentral. Lineage: Bacteria; Bacillati; Bacillota; Bacilli; Caryophanales; Bacillaceae. RNAcentral also lists the same sequence under 1 other name.
AAAGUCUACUAGGGGAGUCCAUAAUGCUUGGAUUGAGAAAAGAAUGCGUUAAAUUCUUUGACCCUUGGAACCUGAUCUGGAUGAUACCAGCGGAGGGAAGUAGUAAAAACAAGAA